RNAcentral lists this ribosomal RNA (792 nucleotides) under uncultured archaeon. Its description in RNAcentral is "bacterial SSU rRNA". It matches the Rfam family "Archaeal small subunit ribosomal RNA", at positions 85 to 879 of the family's 1478-position model. The record is from RNAcentral.
ACGGCUCAGUAACACGUGGACAACCUACCCAAGAGUCAGGGAUAACCCCGGGAAACUGGGGAUAAUACCUGAUAGGCCACGACAUCUGGAAUCGAGUCGUGGUUUAAACGUAAGGCUCUUGGAUGGGUCUGCGGCGGAUUAGGUUGUUGCCGGUGUAACGUACCAGCAAGCCUGUAAUCCGUACGGGUUGUGGGAGCAAGAGCCCGGAGAUGGAUUCUGAGACACGAAUCCAGGCCCUACGGGGCGCAGCAGGCGCGAAAACUCUACAAUGCAGGCAACUGCGAUAGGGGAACAUCGAGUGGCACCCACCAUGGGUGUCUGUCCAAUCGUCUAAAAAACGAUUGUCAGCAAGGGCCGGGCAAGACCGGUGCCAGCCGCCGCGGUAAUACCGGCGGCUCGAGUGGUGGCCGAUAUUAUUGAGUCUAAAGGGUCCGUAGCCGGCUUUGCAAGUCCCCUGGGAAAUCCAGCGGCUUAACCGUUGGGCUUUCAUGGGAUACUACAUUGCUUGGGACUGGGAGAGGUAGGAGGUACUCAGGGGGUAGGGGUGAAAUCCUGUAAUCCUUUGGGGACCACCGGUGGCGAAGGCGUCCUACCAGAACAGGUCCGACGGUGAGGGACGAAAGCUAGGGGCACGAACCGGAUUAGAUACCCGGGUAGUCCUAGCCGUAAACGAUGCUCGCUAGGUGUCACGGCAGUCGUGAAUUGUCGUGGUGCCGUAGGGAAGCCGUGAAGCGAGCCACUUGGGAAGUACGACCGCAAGGUUGAAACUUAAAGGAAUUGGCGGGGGAGCAC